UGCGGACUCUUAAACGUUACAAAGUUGUGAAUUUUAAUUUAGAUUGAGAAAGAAAAAAACAUUGAUAAGAGUAAUGGCAAUGAGUCAAAUUAGAAAAUGUAUUGUGAUGAUGUUGAUAAUAAUGAUGUUUACAAUACAAGUUGAAUGCAUUACUCCACCUCCAGAUUUUAGGCUGCCAAAGAGGCCCUCACCAGCUUUAUGUAAGACUAAAUGUUUCUUUCACUGCACCUUUUAUAUUUUUGCAGAUUGCUUUGGACCAUGUGUCCAUGAUUGCAAACAUCCACCAUAUUAUGAUGCUUCACAUAAUUAAUGAUGUUGCAGGUACUAGUGCUUGCGGGGCUUAAUAAAUAAGUCAUAUGUUUUAUAUGAUGCUAUUCAAUAAAUGUAUUGAUAAAUAUUGACAUUUUGUCAAAAUUAAAUAAAUAUAUUUUAAAUCAGGAUGUCUA
Molecule: long non-coding RNA, 446 nt
Organism: Vicia villosa (hairy vetch)
Lineage: Eukaryota; Viridiplantae; Streptophyta; Magnoliopsida; Fabales; Fabaceae
Exons: 2
Source: RefSeq, a predicted model, not a curated record